This 450-nucleotide ribosomal RNA is filed under the name uncultured bacterium. Its description in RNAcentral is "bacterial SSU rRNA". It matches the Rfam family "Bacterial small subunit ribosomal RNA", at positions 29 to 524 of the family's 1533-position model. The record is from RNAcentral.
AACGAACGCUGGCGGCAUGCCUAACACAUGCAAGUCGAACGAGACCUUCGGGUCUAGUGGCGCACGGGUGCGUAACGCGUGGGAAUCUGCCCCUUGGUUCGGAAUAACUUCGGGAAACUGAAGCUAAUACCGGAUAAUGACGUAAGUCCAAAGAUUUAUCGCCAAGGGAUGAGCCCGCGUAGGAUUAGCUAGUUGGUGGGGUAAAGGCUCACCAAGGCGACGAUCCUUAGCUGGUCUGAGAGGAUGAUCAGCCACACUGGGACUGAGACACAGCCCAGACUCCUACGGGAGGCAGCAGUGGGGGAAUAUUGGACAAUGGGCGAAAGCCUGAUCCAGCAAUGCCGCGUGAGUGAUGAAGGCCUUAGGGUUGUAAAGCUCUUUUACCCGGGAAGAUAAUGACUGUACCGGAGAAUAAGCCCCGGCUAACUCCGUGCCAGCAGCCGCGGUAAU